AUGGAGUGCAGUGGGGAGACAAAUUCUUCCAGUUUAGUUGGCCCAAUGAAUGAAGAUUUUGUUGUGGUGAAUAGUGUCCCCUGUAGAGCCCUAAUUGAUUCAGGAUCCCAGAUUACAUCAAUUACUGAGGAGUUUUGGCACCAACACCCCACCCUCAGAAACCUGAGACCAGAUGAGGUUGAUAUCCGCAUAGAAGGGGCUGGAGGUCACGAGGUCCCACAUCAAGGGGUGUUGCGUUUGAAUUUGUCUUUUCUAGACCAGACCUAUGCGGCUGUUCCAGUUUUCGUUGUGCCGGCGACACAGUACCGAAAGUCUGUACCACUUCUGUUAGGAACAAAUGUUAUUAGGGCUAGCAAGCAGGACUUAGAAAAACGGCUGGGCAGAGAGUUCCCUAGCUGCCUGAAAGAUGAACAUCCAGCCUGGCAUGCUGCCUACCAACAGGUGAGGGUGAAGUCACCCGGAAGGGAGCCCAAGACGGUGUCACAAGUUCGUUAUGCAGGAAAACAGCCAGUGAAAAUUAAGCCUGGGGAACACAGAUGCAUAACAGUCAAGGCUCCAUGGUCUCGUGAUAGGAGUCCAUACACUGUACUUAUCGGACCUCCAGAUGGCAAACAGUUUAUUAAAAACAUGGUGGUGGAAGAAGCAGUGGCAGAUGUGGUCCAUGGGCGGACUCUAGUGCACCUCUACAACCAAAGCACAUACAAUAUUGUUAUAAAAAGGGGCCAGACAGUAGCUAGCAUCUCUGCACUGAGCAGCGUAGAAGCAGUGGUUCCCUCUGACCCUACCCCGGAUCUAGGUAGCACAGCCGGUUCGUCGCAUGAUCAACAAAGUUCUUCCCCACCAGAUAAAGCACCAGUUCAAUCGGACAUUCCGGAGAUGGAUUUGAAGGAGGCAGCAGUGCUGAACCAGGAACAACAGGAAAGGCUGGAAGAACUGCUCCGGAGGAACUCUGAUGUGUUUUCAGUUAAUCAGUUCGACCUUGGAUGUACAUCCGCUGUCAAGCAUGAAAUACCAUUGAUUGAUAACAAGCCCAUGCGCCAGCCUUACCGUAGGAUCCCACCAGCCCAGUUUCAGGAGGUUAGACGACAUCUACAGGAUAUGGUUGAAGCGGGAGCCAUUAGAUCAAGUCAGAGCCCUUAUGCCUCACCCAUUGUAGUGGCCAGGAAGAAAGACGGCUCAAUCCGAGUCUGCAUUGACUACAGACAACUAAAUGCAAAGACGGUGAGAGAUGCAUUCCCUAUGCCCCGUAUUGAGGAGGCCUUGGAUGCUCUUGGUGAUGCUGAAUUCUACUCCACACUGGAUCUCACUUCCGGCUACUGGCAGGUAGAGGUGGCUGAACACGACAAGCCCAAAACUGCAUUCACUACACCCAUGGGCCUGUUUGAGUGCAACCGAAUGCCUUUUGGCCUGCAGAAUGCACCAGCCACCUUCCAAAGACUGAUGACUCACUGCCUGGGAGACCUAAAUUUUUCAGCUGUGCUGAUAUACUUAGAUGAUGUCAUUGUAUUCUCCCGAACAUUUGACGAGCACCUAGAGCGCCUGCAGUUAGUUUUUGACCGGCUGCGCCAGUUCCGGCUUAAGUUAAAACCUAAGAAGUGCCACCUGCUCCGGAAAGAGGUUAAAUAUUUGGGACAUGUGGUGUCAGCCGGUGGUAUAGCCACCGACCCAGAGAAAAUACAGCAGGUGCGGAACUGGAAGACCCCGACAGACAGGAAGGAGGUAGCGCAAUUUUUGGGGUUCUCCGGUUAUUACCGGAGAUUUAUAAAAAAUUACUCCAGUUUAGCAGCACCCCUCUUUCACCUGACCGCUGGGUCCCCUAAGAAGGGAAAACGGCCCCACAAACCGGCCGGGAGGCCACCACCAUUCAGUUGGACAGGGCAAUGUGAUCAAGCAUUCACUGAGCUGAAGGAGAGAUUGACAACAGCACCCGUCUUAGGGUACGCCGACUACAGCCUUCCAUUUGUUCUCCAGACGGAUGCUUCAACAGAGGGGUUAGGUGCAGUGCUGGCCCAGGUGCAGUCCGGCAAAGAGAGGGUAAUUGCGUACGCCAGCCGCUGUCUCCCCCCCUCCGAGAAAAGGUACCCGGCUCACAAACUUGAGUUCCUGGCUUUGAAGUGGGCAGUAGCUGAGAAGCUGAGGGACUACCUGUUAGAGCACCGUUUCACUGUGUUGACUGACAACAACCCGUUGGUAUAUGUAACCAGUACUGCCCACCUUGAUGCAACAGGGCAACGGUGGGUUGCAAAGCUAGCAGAAUUUGACUUCGAGAUAAAAUACCGCCCGGGAAAGAGCAACGCGAACGCAGAUGGCCUCUCACGCAUGCCGAGAGCUGAAAUUGCAAGCAUACUGAAGGUCGGUUGUAAUGUCAAUACCGCUAGCACUUCGGACCAAGGGGAAUUUAACUCCACCAGAAAUACUCUAUCCAGCACUGCACCUCCCAGUCAGUGGGCUGAGGUCAUCCCCAGACUGCCUAGGGAGGAGCUUAGGAGACAUCAAGAAAAGGACCCAGUAAUCUCCGUUGUGCUGCGUUACUUCAAGGCUGGACGGGCACCAAGUGUAAGGAAGAGGAAGCAGGAGGAGCCCCUUGUCAGAGCGAUGCUGAGACAGUGGAACAAGCUGACGUUUGAAGAGGACAUCCUCUAUAGAACAUUCAAGUCGCCAGAAGGGAAUGAAGUUAGACAGGUGGUGCUGCCUGAAAAGCUAAGGCGGGAAGUAUUCGACAUGCUACACACCGACAUGGGCCACUUGGGGAUGGAACGAACCGUAGAUCUUAUGCGUGCACGAUGCUAUUGGCCAGCUAUGUUUUCCACUAUCCAACACUGGUGUGAAUCAUGUGAAAGAUGCUGCCUAAGGAAAAGUUCACAGGGCGCCCGUGCACCCCUGAUCUCUAUUCACACGACUAGGCCUUUAGAGCUUGUAUGCCUGGAUUUUCUCACCUUGGAGCGCUGCAAAGGGGGUAUAGAAAAUAUCCUGGUAGUUACCGAUCACUUUACACGCUAUGCUCAGGCUUAUCCUACUCCUGACCAGAGAGCAGCUACCAUAGCCAAGGUUAUGUGGAAACAUUUCAUUUGCCAUUACGGGAUUCCCGAAAGGAUACACACUGACCAAGGGAGGAACUUUGAGAGUGGUCUCCUGCGCCAACUCUGGAAAUCAAUGGGGGUAGCCAAAAGCAGAACCACUCCCUACCACCCACAAGGUAAUGGUACCACUGAAAGGUUUAAUAGAACCUUGAUGAACAUGCUGGGAACCCUGGAACCUCACCAGAAGUCAAACUGGAAGGAGUACGUUGAACCCAUGGUCCACGCAUAUAACUGCACCCGUCAUGAGUCCACAGGCUUCUCACCCUACUUCCUCAUGUAUGGAAGACAUCCUCGUCUUAAAGUGGAUUUGGCUUUGGGGCUCCCAUGCCAGGAGGAGGAGGAAACAGAGCCAGAGGAAUACGUGUCAAGUCUCCGUAGUAGACUGGAGUUGGCUUACAAGCAAGCAACGUUGGAAUCUGAAAGAUCCAAGCGCCGUCAGAAACGGUAUUACGAUCAGAAAGCAAAAGAAAUUACCUUGAGACCAGGAGACCGUGUCCUAGUGGCAAAUAAAAGUGUUAGAGGAAAACAAAAAUUGGGAGACAAGUGGGAGAAAAUACCGCACAUUGUAGUUCGUAAACAAUCUGAUCUGCCAGUAUACGCUGUGCGUCCAGAAACGGGAGGGGGGGAAAGAGUUAUUCACCAAAACUUACUGACGCCCUGUAUGUUUCUCCCAUUAAACAAUACCAAGCAGCUUACCUGUAUGGAUGAUCAGGGUUCGAACACUAGCCACGUAAGGUCAAAUUUUGAAAUAGACACCUCUGAGGAUGAGGAAAACUUAUAUGUAGAGGUAGGGUCACAAGCAAGAAACCGGGGGAAUCAGAUUGAUAGCAUAGGAACAGAGAAGCUCCCUAAAUCAAUUGCACUCGCACCUAGCAGACACAUGGGCUUGGGCACCCAUCCAUUUCUCAGCGAUAGAGACGAUAGCGAUAAUGACAGUCAGCUUAGCUGGGAAAGGGGUUAUCAUGAUACAGAAAUAGUGGCUGACUAUUCAGAAACGCACAACCCAGACCACAUCUGUUUAGGUAGUGAGUUGUCAGGCCCGGAGGGUCCAUCCGCCCCGAGCCAGACCCCAGAGGGUCCAUCCGCCCCGAGCCAGACCCCGGAGGGUCCAUCCGCCCCGAGCCAGACCCCGGAGGGUCCAUCUGCCCCGAGCCAGACCCCGGAGGGUCCAUCCGCCCCGAGCCAGACCCCGGAGGGUCCAUCCGCCCCGAGCCAGACCCCGGAGGGUCCAUCCGCCCCGAGCCAGACCCCGGAGGGUCCAUCCGCCCCGAGCCAGACCCCGGAGGGUCCAUCCGCCCCGAGCCAGACCCCGGAGGGUCCAUCCGCCCCGAGCCAGACCCCGGAGGGUCCAUCCGCCCCGAGCCAGACCCCGGAGAUUUUAAGUAUCCGUAGCCAGGCCAGAGCAGGUCCGCCUGCCAUGGGCCAGGCCCCAGGAAACAUCGAACUCCGCCGCUCCACUCGGCAGAGGAGGCCACCUAAUAGGUUAUCUUUAGAGCACCACGCAGAGACUCUAGGUUCUGAACAGUGCCGAUAUUGCCAGAAGAUUGCUAGGGGCAGGCAAAUCUGGGAAACCCAAAAGAAGAAACAGGCCCUGCGGAUUCCCAGAGACUUUAGAGUUUGCAACAGUUGUGACAUACGUUUGCAUUAACAUGUAAGACGAGGGCGUCCUUUUCUGUAACAGGGGAGAGUGUAGCCAGCUAGUUUAAGAAGUUAGCAAAUAAACUACAAACUGGUAGGGAAUUCUGGGACACUUCCUGUUUCUUCUCCAUGUGGGUAAUUUACAUCAGCAUACUGGAGUUAGUUUGUAAAAUGGCUCCGGCUGUGCAACAGUGUGCUGAUGUCUGUCUGCUAUACUUGGUUUCGUUUGCAGGUUCAGAACUGCUAACCAAGGUCCGGAACCAUCGUAGGAUGCACUGAAGUGAUUGGAAGUAAAGCAUCAGUGAUUUCUCUAUAUGGGAAGGAAUUCAUACUCCUAUGAGUAAAGAAGACAAGGAUGAUCUUAGCUGUCCUGUUCUGCACAUAUUUUGUAGUAUUCCAAAAUGAAUGUUUUGUAAAGCUCCUAAUGAUGGGAUGAAUACAUGGGUUAAAAUAUGUAUUUUUAGCCAACAUAAGAAAAGAAGACCAUUCGGCCCAUCACAGCAUAGAAAGCAAGAAAGAACAAGUGGGUCUUGAGAGUUGAUUUAAAGCGAGCAACAGUGGGAACAUCACACAACAAAGCUGGGAGAGAGUUCCAAAGAGUCGGAGCCACGAAGCUAAACGAAUGUUCUCCAAGUGUGGUGCACUUUUGCUUGGGGAUCACAAGCAGGCCAGAGUCGGAGGACCUCAGCUUGCGGGCAGGGACAUAGCGGGCCAGCAGGUUGAGGAGGUACUCGGGACCUGUGUGAAGAAGGGCAUUGUAAGUGAGCAGGAGAGCUUUGAAAAUAAUCCUGAACUUUACAGGUAGCCAGUGCAGCUGGGCAAGACUGGGGGUGAUAUGUUCAUGUUUUUUACAUCUGGUAAGGAUCCUGGCAGUGGCAUUCUGAACUAGCUGCAGUCGGUUUAUGGUGCGUGCCGGGAGACCACCAUGGAGAGACUUGCAGUAGUCGAGUCGAGAAGAGACAAAUGCAUGACAAAGUAUCUCUGCAUCCAGGAGGGAAAGGUAGGGACGGACUUUGGAGAUGCUUCGAAGAUGGUAGAAGGAAGAUUUGACCACGGAGGAGAUGUGGGCAUCAAAGGAGAGGUUGCUGUCAAGAAGUACACCAAGGCUUCGUACUGUGGGGGAAGGCAGCAGCAGACAGUUUCCGAGGAUCAGGGCAGCUAUAUUGAGAUUCUUAUGCUGAGUUUUAGAUCCUACUAGAAGGAGUCCAGAUUUGAUAGUCUUGAGUUGAAGAAAAUUGACAGACAUCCAGACCUUGAUGUCUUGAAUGCAAGCUGAGUCCAGGGACAGAUAAAGAGUGUGCAUAAUUGAAGGAGCAAGAUCAGAAGCACAGAGACGGACAAGAUUAGUCGGCCAGGGUUCCAGGGGGCAGGUGGCAGUGGUUGAUUUCAGCAGUAAGCUGGAGACAUCAGCAAUUUAUAGAGGAGAGAAAGAGGAGAGAGCAGGAGGGACAACCAGAGGAGAGUCAAGGUGGUCAAGUAGUAAACUGGGUCUGUGGCGGGAGAGUGUGCCUUAUGCAUGCUCACCAGUUUGCGCCCAGCCUCCACCCUGUUGCAUUGGUGCUGUGAUCCUGGUUUCUGUGGGUUAUGGGUUAGGAUUAACUGCCCUCAAAAGACUUCACUCAAGUCCCCUCAUAGUUCUCCCUUGUUCUAGGCUAAAUAGAUUCAGUUCUUUAAACCUAUCUCCAUAGCUCUUUCCGUUGAUUGCUCUCCGUUACACUCUGCAGGGCCACAAUGUCCUUGGUACUGUGAUGACGAGCUUCAGGCACAGUACGCCUAAGUGCAGUCUCACCAGGGCAUUGUAAAACCUUGUCAUAACCUUCUUUGAUUUGUACUGUAAACUUUUGGCUGUAUGCCCAAGCAUUCUGAUUUUCUUUUUGAUUGCUCAGGUCUGUUGUGAAAUUCCUGAGAGUGUACUUAACACAUGUAUUUAUUAUUUAUUUAUUUUUGCACCCUGCUUCACUGGCCCUUGCGUUCUUGCUUGUGAUGUUGUGUGAUAGCACUGCUUAAUAUGGCAAGCCAAAUGAUCACGUAGAGACAUCUCAAAUUACAUUUUAAGAUAUCUUGAAAUAUUUAGAGAUAUCUGUAAAUCAUUUGCAAAUCUCUUUAAAUGAAUUUGAGAUAUCUGUAAAUAAACCAAAUUGAAGAUAUUUCAAACAUAUCUGAGAUCUAAAAAUGAAACAGAUAUCUCAAAUGAAUUUACAUAUAUUUUUUAAUGUUUUACAAGCAUGGUAUGCCAAACUCAUUUAGAGAAAUCUCUCUCUCUCUGUAAAUCAUUUUAAGAUAUGUUGAAAUUAACAGGAAGUCAUUUCAAUAUAUCUCCAAAUGACUUCCUGUGAAAAUGCUCUAUGCUUUGAAAGGACUUCCUGUCCAUUUAGACGUAGCUCUAAAUCAAUAGGAAGUCAUUUUGAGAUAUCUUAAAAUAAUUUAAAGAUAUCUGAAAAUGCAUUUUAGAUAUCUAAUGUAAAGCUCAGUUUAAAGAUAUAUGGAAAUGAAUCUCAGAUAUCUAAAUGUAUUUUAGGUAUCUUAAAAUGAUUUUAAACAACCUUGUAGAUGAUAUAUUGCAGUGAAUAACCCUGUUCCCCCAGAUGGGAGCCCCUGGUUGAUGGUAUGUUAGGGAGCAGAUCUAUCUGUAUGUCCUGCGCUCCCAGUCCUAGGACACAUUGGGCUAGAUUCUCAAAGCUAUUAGCGCUCUGCGCUCCCAGUCCAAGGACACUUUAGGCUAGAUUCUCAAACUGUCAUUAGCGUUGUUUUUUGUCUAAAAAGAAAAAAACACCAUUUACAAUUCUAAAACAAAUAAGACUUUGGACUACUCACACUUUUGUCAUCAGUAAUCAGCUUUGAGAACCUAGUCCUUUGUGAUCGUCAGACCUAAUGCAAAGCCCUGGAGUAUGGCCUGAGAGAGAAUAUGGAUCAUACAAUUUAAAGGAUGUACGAGCAAUAGCUCACAACAGUUAAACAUCCGACCACCAUGCAUUACACUGUACACACAUUUGUAAAGAAUACAAACUGGAUCAGCUGGGAGAUGAAGCCAGAUUAAAGGGUGAACUGGGAAGCAGUGCUUGGGUUAAAGUGUCACUAAUUAUAUUGCACUCAUUGGUGACUAGUGAGCUGAGCUGUUGCCACUGAGCGAGUAUGUCAGGUUUACUCCUCAGGCUCCUGGUGAGAGUCUGAUUUGAUAAUGCAGUACAUGUAGAGUAAAUUCAACACUUAUUCAAUGUAAAUUAGUCUGCCCAUAACGGUUCUCUAUACAGGAGAUAUUCUGUACAGAUGGAGCACGCACACUUAUUCAUUUUAGUUUCAAGCCAUCCUCUAAAACCCACACUGGUGCAAACUGUCACAAAUCCAUUGUGACAGAUCCAUUGUGACAGUGGUGUAUUUACGCUCCUUCUCAUGCAUCGCACGUUUUAUGGCUUAAUGAUGAAAUGCAAGGUUUGAUAUUUCCAAUGUGACAGUUUGCUUUGCAAUAUACUGCAUUUUAUUUUUGUGGUGUACAGAGUUGCGUGUAGUGAGGCAAACACCCACAAUUACUACAACGCAAACAUAAUUUAAAAAAGAAAUGUUUCCUGAAAACAUGUAGAUAUUAAAGAGACAGUAUAAUAGUUUAACCUUCAUAGCAUUCUGCGUUUUGGUGUUCUCUUGUUUUCCAUUUCGGAGAGGCCCGCCCCUGCAGGGUGGGCUGAGCAAUCUCUUUAUAUGUUCAGUUGUAAACCUUGCCACUCGUCUCAGCUUACCAGGUUCUGAUGGAGUUUAUUUAGCAGACGCCUUUAUCCAAAGCAACUUACAGAGACUAGGGUGUGUGAACUAUGCAUCAGCUGCAGAGUCACUUACAAUUACGUCCCACCCGAAAGACGGAGCACAAGAAGGUUAAGUGCUUUGCUCAGGGUCACACAAUGAGUCAGUGGCUGAGGUGGGAUUUGAACCGGGAACCUCCUAGUUACAAGCCCUUUUCUUUAACCACUGGACCACACGGCCUCCUCAGUGGAGUGGUCAUUAUCCCAUGUUAGACUGCAAAAGCCUAGAAUUUUUCAACUGUCCUUUUACAUUUUAAAACCCAUCUGCUUUACGCUGAUGUCAUCUGCGUCUCUUCCUUAUUAUCAAAAUGAACAAAAAUAAAAAUGACAACAUACAUCUGGUUUGCUGAAAUCACUGGAACCGAUUUGGUUGAAAAACUAACAAACAUGUAAACAGACCCGUCAACUUCACUCCAGCUAAAAAUAUAUUUUACUGCAGUGAUUUUUUAAAAAAAGGGUGAAAAAUGACAAAAGACAGAACAAAAUAUUGUCACACGCAUACUGUUAUGUCUGCUACUUCUGAUCUUUCACUGCAUCUUCUGAUGAUUCUAUAUGACAUACGCAUCCAUAGUGGUUUAGAAUUUUCACAUACUAGCCUUGUAUUUAAUGUAUUAUACUUUGUUCACUGUAUUUAAUGUAUUAUGCAUUGUUUUUUACUGUAUCUUGUAAAGUGCUUUGUGAUGGUGGUCCACUAUGAAAGGCACUGUAUAAAAUAAAGAUUGGUUGAUGAUUGAUUGAUUACUAAAAAUGACUAGUGUAAGAAACUAAAGACACUGAUAAUGCUCUCUUGUGGGGGCAGAAUGUUUGAAAAAACUUCUACUGCUAGCAUGUCCAAUUGUAUCACUACAAAAAUAUGUAAGUAAAAUGCCAUUCAAGACUUACAGAAGCAGUCACUACAUUCACUUGGUAAAUUAUGUUUUAUUUGAAAUCUUUGU
Molecule: RNA transcript, 9444 nt
Organism: Acipenser ruthenus (sterlet)
Lineage: Eukaryota; Metazoa; Chordata; Actinopteri; Acipenseriformes; Acipenseridae
Gene name: gap junction gamma-1 protein
Exons: 3
Source: RefSeq, a predicted model, not a curated record